UACGGAGGGUGCGAGCGUUAUUCGGAAUGACUGGGCGUAAAGCGCGCGUAGGUGGCUUUUUAAGUCUGAUGUGAAAGCCCUCGACUCAAUCGAGGAAGUGCAUUGGAUACUGGAUGGCUAGAGUUUAGGAGGGGAGAGCGGAAUUCCCGGUGUAGAGGUGAAAUUCGUAGAUAUCGGGAGGAACAACGGAAGCGAAGGCGGCUCUCUGGACUAACACUGACACUGAGGUGCGAAAGCGUGGGGAGCAAACAGG
This 253-nucleotide ribosomal RNA is filed under the name uncultured bacterium. RNAcentral describes it as "partial 16S ribosomal RNA". It matches the Rfam family "Bacterial small subunit ribosomal RNA", at positions 524 to 776 of the family's 1533-position model. The record is from RNAcentral.